CCCUGGUAGUCCACCCCGUAAACGUUGGGAACUAGUUGUGGGGACCAUUCCACGGUUUCCGUGACGCAGCUAACGCAUUAAGUUCCCCGCCUGGGGAGUACGGCCGCAAGGCUAAAACUCAAAGGAAUUGACGGGGACCCGCACAAGCGGCGGAGCAUGCGGAUUAAUUCGAUGCAACGCGAAGAACCUUACCAAGGCUUGACAUAUACGAGAACGGGCCAGAAAUGGUCAACUCUUUGGACACUCGUAAACAGGUGGUGCAUGGUUGUCGUCAGCUCGUGUCGUGAGAUGUUGGGUUAAGUCCCGCAACGAGCGCAACCCUCGUUCUAUGUUGCCAGCACGUAAUGGUGGGAACUCAUGGGAUACUGCCGGGGUCAACUCGGAGGAAGGUGGGGAUGACGUCAAAUCAUCAUGCCCCUUAUGUCUUGGGCUUCACGCAUGCUACAAUGGCCGGUACAAAGGGCUGCAAUACCGUGAGGUGGAGCGAAUCCCAAAAAGCCGGUCCCAGUUCGGAUUGAGGUCUGCAACUCGACCUCAUGAAGUCGGAGUCGCUAGUAAUCGCAGAUCAGCAACGCUGCGGUGAAUACGUUCCCGGGUCUUGUACACACCGCCCGUCAAGUCAUGAAAGUCGGUAACACCUGAAGCCGGUGGCCUAACCCUUGUGGAGGGAGCCGUCGAAGGUGGGAUCGGUAAUUAGGACUAAGUCG
This 707-nucleotide ribosomal RNA is filed under the name Microbacterium sp. RNAcentral's name for it is "bacterial SSU rRNA". It matches the Rfam family "Bacterial small subunit ribosomal RNA", at positions 785 to 1488 of the family's 1533-position model. The record is from RNAcentral. Lineage: Bacteria; Bacillati; Actinomycetota; Actinomycetes; Micrococcales; Microbacteriaceae.